RNAcentral lists this ribosomal RNA (253 nucleotides) under uncultured bacterium. RNAcentral describes it as "partial 16S ribosomal RNA". It matches the Rfam family "Bacterial small subunit ribosomal RNA", at positions 524 to 776 of the family's 1533-position model. The record is from RNAcentral.
UACGGGGGGGGCAAGCGUUGUUCGGAAUUACUGGGCGUAAAGGGCGCGUAGGCGGCCUGCUAAGUCGGACGUGAAAUCCCUCGGCUCAACCGAGGAACUGCGUCCGAUACUGGUGGGCUUGAAUCCGGGAGAGGGAUGUGGAAUUCCAGGUGUAGCGGUGAAAUGCGUAGAUAUCUGGAGGAACACCGGUGGCGAAGGCAGUGUCCUGGCGCGUAACUGACGCUGAGGUGCGAAAGCCAGGGGAGCGAACGGG